RNAcentral lists this ribosomal RNA (519 nucleotides) under uncultured bacterium. RNAcentral's name for it is "bacterial SSU rRNA". It matches the Rfam family "Bacterial small subunit ribosomal RNA", at positions 25 to 518 of the family's 1533-position model. The record is from RNAcentral.
CAGGACGAACGCUGGCGGCGUGCCUAAUACAUGCAAGUCGAACGGUCUUUCUAUGGAAGCUUGCUCCACUGAGAAGAUAGUGGCGAACGGGUGAGUAACACGUGGGUAACCUGCCCAUAAGAGGGGGAUAACAUCCGGAAACGGGUGCUAAUACCGCAUAGUUUUCUUGAUUGCAUGAUUGAGAAAGGAAAGACGGCCUUUGUGCUGUCGCUUAUGGAUGGACCCGCGGCGUAUUAGUUAGUUGGUGAGGUAACGGCUCACCAAGACGAUGAUACGUAGCCGACCUGAGAGGGUGAUCGGCCACAUUGGGACUGAGACACGGCCCAAACUCCUACGGGAGGCAGCAGUAGGGAAUCUUCCGCAAUGGACGAAAGUCUGACGGAGCAACGCCGCGUGAGUGAAAGAAGGUUUUCGGAUCGUAAAACUCUGUUGUCAGAGAAGAACAAGUUGGAGAGUAACUGCUCCAGCCUUGACGGUAUCUGACCAGAAAGCCACGGCUAACUACGUGCCAGCCGCCGC